Zea mays is the source of this 4310-nucleotide long non-coding RNA. RefSeq lists it as uncharacterized. Lineage: Eukaryota; Viridiplantae; Streptophyta; Magnoliopsida; Poales; Poaceae. The transcript is spliced from 2 exons. The record is from RefSeq and is a predicted model, not a curated record.
AUCAACGCCAUCCUCCCGCAAUCCCCGCCUACUGCCUUGCCUGCCCCUUCCAUCCUCCUCCCACCCCUCCUUCCAUCCUCGCCCGCGCACUCGUCCCCGCCAUCGCGCUCGCCUCCCUCCUCUUUGUUGCCUCCGCGUCGGCCUCCACCCCGCUCUCCGACGCGCUUGCCGCCGUCUCGGAUUUCAAGUGCACUCUCUUCUCUACGGCGCGAGCAAGGGCGACGCUUGUCAUGGCAUCGACGGGAACCAGGCAUCACUCUCCCUAUCUCUCGGGAGGGGAGCUGUUUGAGCGGAUGCCCACCAGGAACAAUGUUUCCUAGAUCACGAUGUUUGGGCCACUUUUGGAAGAGGUCAGCGAUGACAUGUUCUCAAGCUUGGAGGACAUCACCAACGCACCAUAUGCAGAUCUACUCUCUAUUAAUUCAAUGAGGAAAGAAAAGGGGUCAUAGAAAUUAGUCUUGGCAGAUGGAGGGGAACAUCUCAAUGACUGAGGCACAUUUUUUCUUGUUAGUUAGCUCAUGGAUUUUUAUGGUCUAGGAGGAGUUGCUGCUAUAUGAAUAUGACAGCACUCAUUAAUCAACAUAACUAUAUGAAUACAAUAUGAAAGGAGGUACUGAUGGAGGCUAUGAAACAGAUAAGGUAUACUUCACAAAAUUAUCCCUGAAACAUUUGUAUUUUUUAAAAUGACAUGUAAUCUUGUUGAUCUGGUUUACUCAAGCUGCAUCGAGUUUGUACUCGACAAACCUAAUUGGAUCUCUAUUCUAAUCCAAACAUUGCUUGUGUGUUGAUGAAGAAGCUCAUGAUUCCAAACCAGUUUUGAUGUCUGUUUGAUAAAGUUGUUCAUGCUCUGUGCAAUAUGCAGGUGAAGCUAGAUUUUCCAGAUGAAGUCCUCGUGUCUGUAAGUGGACACUAUGGAUAUGCUGCUAUGUUUAGAUAAGAAAAUGUGUUCCAGUUGACAACUUGUGAAUGCACUAAAUAUAUAUGUGUGUAUUUAGUCUUUGUACUAUGGCAUAUCCUGAUUUGCAUUGCUACUUAGAUGUGUGAACUGUUGGAGUUGGCAGAGCUGACCAUAUUUAGUUGUCAUGCUGUGCUAGGCCUAAAUUGUCUGAUGAUGUAAUUGUUGUCUGUUGGCUAUUCAGUCUGCCUGACAAACCUACUAAUUCAAAUUUAGUUAUGCUAUAUGUUCUUUUUGUGAAAUUACAAAUCUGCAUUGUUACAACAUCUGAAAUUCUGAUAUUUAUUAGGUCUCUUCAUUCCCUUUUCAGAUUUAAUUAACCUCUGACUGGAUUCAGAGCUAUAUAUUGACAGUCGUAUUGAUUUGAUUUCUCGGUACACAGGGGAACUACAACAUUUGGUGUGAGUUGUACUACUUCGGGUUUUAGAUCUUCAAGCACACCUUCAUUUGGCACAUUACAGGAGACAGAUCCAAAUAUGCUGACAGUGAGCUUAAUUGAUUUUGCGCAUUUCAAAUUUAUAAUGUUGUGAUUGAAUAGAGCAAUCAACAUCCUUGCAUUGGGAUAGGAUAACAAGAAAUAUUUGGGAGAUCUGCUUUAGGAAAUACCUUGUUUUUUAAUACAACUACUUUUUGCUCUCUCACAAGUAUAGACAAGUGGACAAGUGCAGUCUUGAAUCCCAUGCUAAACUACUUUCAAUUCCUUGGAGAUUAUACUUCAUAUAUUAUAGAAUUGCUCUCUGCCAACCAUGUAAUCACUCUACCUAUUUCUUUUACAUUCGUAUAUGCUAAGCUGCAUUUCUCUACUCCUAAAAAAGAUCUAACUUAUUUUGACUAUCGAUAACCACAUCAUUUUGCUCUUGUUUUUUUUGGAAAAUUUAGGAGGGAGACGAAGGGCGAGCUUAGUGAUCUAGAUUCAGAUCUGGUGGUGAAGGAGAUUGGCAACGCUGGCUGCAAAGCUGAUUGUGCCACCAACACAAGAGAUCUAGGAGUUCUUCAUCAUCACUGACGCAGUCCAGGCCAAGCACUUCGCUUCCAGUAAGACUCCUCGCCAAGCUACUGGCAUGACUAGAAAAUUUUAGUUUUAUAGUGUGGUAUUGUGAGGCAUGUAGAAAUUACUAUCUUAAUUACUCGAUCUCUCACCGCACACAAGUUUCUUCUGUCCAUGUUAAUUUCGUGCGAGGACACUGUAAGCCUUUCCUUAAUUUUCGAGUGUUUAGAUAUUUCUGCUUUUCAGGUGAUUGCUGGCUCAUUUCCAUAUUUUCCACCUUCUAUGAUAUCAAUUCCAAUCCUUUUGUAGGUAAAAGGCUAUGAGGAACUCAAGAAGAAGGUACUCGUGGAAAAAAUGAAGGUGUCUGAUGGAUACUGGAUAAAUCGUGUGGGCUCAUGGGAGCUCUGAAUAUCUGCUAGCUCUUGUGGUUUAUAUGAUACUACCAUAAUCUUAUUUCGUUGGAUUCAUCACCCUGCAUCUCAGUAUGGAUGGGGAUCAAACCUAUCACAUCAUGAUGGAUACUGGAUAAACCAUUAUGAGAGGCAAGUCAGAUUAUUUCUUUAGUUCAAAGACCAUCAUGGAAAAAAUCAGUUAGUAUGACGAGACCCUAUUUUUCUUCUAUGAAACAAUAGGUUCUGAUGCAUGUGUGAUAUUGACUAUGCUUUAGAUAUUAGUAUUGUGUUCCUAAUAUUUUUAAAAGCUACGGUUCUAAUAGUUACUGCAUUUUUAUCUAGGCGGAUCUUUCACACAGAUCCUUUGUUCUUAUUCAGGUUUGUUAUUUUUUACCACUAUUAAUUUACAUUGUUAUUGUUUACCUGUCUUAGUUAGUUAUAUGAAAGUAUUGCAUAUACAUGAGCUGUCUUGGCUAUAUGCUUAUCUUUUGAAUGAUAUGCAGAUUGAACACAUACACCAUUUAAGAGUAAUGUGCAAUGUACUGAUUAUGUUAUUUCUUUUAUGUUUUAUCUGUUUUUUGUUGGGUCCUCCAGGAAUAGGAGAGACACAAACUAUUCUUAGACUCCUUAGAGUCAUUCUCCAUUCUACUCCUGUAAGAAUGCAGAUCAAGUAACAAAGUCACUUGGUUAUUCUUUAUAUUUUGGUGUAUGGAGUAUUAGUUUUCUUUUCGAGGAUAGAAAACAUGGGGCUAGAACUGGACAUUGAUGGCAAGUACCAAGUAUGUGAAGAAUGUAGACCUUCUAAUUAGUUUCCCUUUAUUUGACUUUGGGCUGGGUAUGGAAAAUGGGAAGAAUAUAAAGCUGAUUAGUAACAUCUAGCUACUUCAAAUUAUGAGUUUCCCUUUGAAAUUCUCCAUUCUUAACUUGUUUCUCUUAUAGACUGCAUGAUUAUGUGUUGGUUAUUAGUAGAUAAAUAAAAAAACUUAGUUUUGACAAUAUGCGGUUAUCAGAAUUUUUUUCCAAAAUAUCUAACAGACUUGUUUUCUUCAGGCCAGGAACUCAGGGUCUACACAUCUUAUAACUGAAAAACACAUGAGCAAUAUGCGGUUCACACUUUUUUCUUGUUUGCAUUUUAUAAACCAUUAGACCCAUGUAACAAAAAGCAGAUUGUUUAUAUGUUAUGCUCACUUAAUAUGGAGAUCCUCAAGUAUCUUAGAAUCAGUUAUGUGUUGGAUAAAUAUCUUGGUUAUUUACUCUUCUAUUAGUACUCUGUGCUUGUUAUCUGUUGGAUAAAUGUCUUGGUUAUUUACUCUUCUAUCCUCAAGUAUCUUAGGAAUAGGAUUCAUGACAAUGAGCCAUUGAUUUCUGAAGUUUUUUAAGCUAACCUAUUUGCUUUGUAGGCAAGGUGAGCAAGGCACCUAAGAUCCAGUGGAUUGUGAACCCUUGACCCUUCAGAGGAAGCACACUAGAAUCAUUGACAAGAAGAUUGCCAAGAAGAGAAGUCUGAGGUUGUCGAGUACCAAAAGCUUCUUCCCAUAGGCUGAAGGAAUAGAGACCGCCACAACGAGAGCUUGGCCAAGAGCAGAUCCAACCGCCAAGGCUUCCUCUGGCACCUCCGCUUAAGAAUGUUCAGUGCUUUUGAGAUGUUUUCAAGACCUAUCUUGUUACAGCUUAAGUACCUUAUGCUGCUAUAGCUAUGUUGCAACUGCCCCAGUACUUGACAUAUUUGCAUUACAUGCUCAGGCUAUAGAGGGUAGGUUCCUAAUUGUGACCAUGUACUAAAUUAUAUAUCUGUUGCUAAGUUAUAGUACAGACAAAAUAAAUUUAGCCUGACCAACUUGUAGAAAAAUGUGUUAUUGUAACUAAGAAUAUCUGAAUUGCUCCUAUGUUACUUUCUAUAUUCAUUCUUGUAACUCCAUUUACUUCCAUGUGAAUAUUGUGUAUAGUAGCCAUGAUAUCAUGAUAUGAUAAUGAA